CAAGAAGAAGUGAAUAGCUUCACACAACACCCUGUAACCUACUCAAACACUCUUUGCUCCUCUGAAGACAAAGGCCAUGAUGUGGAAAGCAGCUGUUCUACUGGCUACCUUGGCCCUGGUCAGUGUGAACGCAUUGCCAUCGGUCCUUCCACCGAAUAUCGGACCUGUGAUUCCAGGGGCACCUAGAGAUGUAGACAUCCACACUCCUGAGGUGCAAGAAGCUUUGAACUUCUCCAUCAGUGAAUACAACAAACGGACCAAUUGUGCGUGCAAUUACAAAGUGGAGCGAGUGAACAAGGCCCAGGUCCAGGUUGUCGCAGGUCUGCUUUACCUUUUUGACGUACAAAUUGUUCCUGCCGGCAAGAAGACUGGCACCAGUGACAAGUGUGAGGAGACAAAGCGUCUUUCAUGCUCUUUCCACGUCAUGAGUCGCAAGUGGCUGAAUCAACUUCAACUAACCAAAUAUCUCUGCAGGCAGUAAUUAAAUUGGUGGGAUGUUUCAGACCACAUCGGAUGAAUUUUUUGGAUGGCCAUGCAUCCCGUCAUUACGUUGUCAAUGAUUUUUCCAAGAUAGCUAUUGUGCCAUAAUGGGUCAGUUGGUUACUAUCCUGCACAUAAAGUUGUUUGAAACCAAUUGUGCCUACUUUUCCACUAUUAACACCCUUCCCCAUUUGUCUUUUCAUGAUAAUUGGCUUCAACAUUUUACUGUUAACAUGUGCUUGGAAAAAUGUCUCU
Long non-coding RNA from Engraulis encrasicolus (European anchovy), 735 nucleotides. RefSeq lists it as uncharacterized. The transcript is spliced from 3 exons. NCBI's taxonomy places the organism in Eukaryota, Metazoa, Chordata, Actinopteri, Clupeiformes, Engraulidae. The record is from RefSeq and is a predicted model, not a curated record.